RNAcentral lists this transfer RNA (73 nucleotides) under Solanum lycopersicum (tomato). It matches the Rfam family "tRNA". Rfam says of the family: Transfer RNA (tRNA) molecules are approximately 80 nucleotides in length. Their secondary structure includes four short double-helical elements and three loops (D, anti-codon, and T loops). The record is from Rfam by way of RNAcentral. Lineage: Eukaryota; Viridiplantae; Streptophyta; Magnoliopsida; Solanales; Solanaceae.
ACCUACUAAACUCAGUGAUCAAAAUACUGCUUUCAUACAGAAGGAGUCAUUGGUUCAAAUCCAAUUGUAGGUU